RNAcentral lists this non-coding RNA (222 nucleotides) under Pseudomonas alkylphenolica. Lineage: Bacteria; Pseudomonadati; Pseudomonadota; Gammaproteobacteria; Pseudomonadales; Pseudomonadaceae. The record is from RNAcentral.
CCUACACAGAUUGUUACGGGUGCCCUUCACAGGGUGAAACGGGAAGCCGGUGAACCAUGUGCUUUACUCUAAAGCCAUGUCAGUCCGGUGCUGCCCCCGCAACGGUAAGCGAGUGAAGCGUCAGAUCCACUGUGCCAGUGCGGCAUGGGAAGGUGAUGCUUGCAGGUCGGUUAAUGCCAACCCCUCGCGAGCCCGGAGACCGGCCCGCAACUUACAGUGCGC